Molecule: ribosomal RNA, 269 nt
Filed under: uncultured bacterium
Lineage: Bacteria
Description: partial 16S ribosomal RNA
Rfam family: Bacterial small subunit ribosomal RNA
Source: RNAcentral
CGUAAACAAAGGGAAGCGAAGGAGCGAUCCGGAGCGAAUCCCAAAAAUAACGUCUCAGUUCGGAUUGUAGUCUGCAACUCGACUACAUGAAGCUGGAAUCGCUAGUAAUCGCGAAUCAGAAUGUCGCGGCGAAUACGUUCCCGGGUCUUGUACACACCGCCCGUCACACCAUGGGAGUCGGAAACGCCCGAAGCCAGUGACCCAACCUGAGAAGGAGGGAGCUGUCGAAGGCGGGGCCGGUAACUGGGGUGAAGUCGUAACAAGGUAAC